UCCGGAGGGUGCAAGCGUUAAUCGGAAUUACUGGGCGUAAAGCGCGCGUAGGCGGCUGGAUAAGUCGAUUGUGAACGCCUUGGGCUCAACCUGAGAAUUGCAGUCGAGACUGUUCGGCUAGAGUGUGGGAGAGGGUGGUGGAAUUCCCGGUGUAGCGGUGAAAUGCGUAGAUAUCGGGAGGAAUAUUAAAGGAGACGGCGACCACCGGGAUCUACACUGACGCUGAGGUGCGAAAGCGUGGGUAGCAAACAGG
RNAcentral lists this ribosomal RNA (253 nucleotides) under uncultured bacterium. RNAcentral's name for it is "partial 16S ribosomal RNA". It matches the Rfam family "Bacterial small subunit ribosomal RNA", at positions 524 to 776 of the family's 1533-position model. The record is from RNAcentral.